This is a long non-coding RNA of Lytechinus pictus (painted urchin), 2401 nucleotides long. RefSeq lists it as uncharacterized. The transcript is spliced from 3 exons. The record is from RefSeq and is a predicted model, not a curated record. NCBI's taxonomy places the organism in Eukaryota, Metazoa, Echinodermata, Echinoidea, Temnopleuroida, Toxopneustidae.
CAUUUGAAAAAGGUAAGUGCUCGUUUUCCGCCGUUAAAUGAUGCAUGCAGCCUAAUUUUGGAUCGAGAAUUAAGUGCGACGAAGAUGGCCGUAAUAGUUCUACUACUUUAAGAACACGGGUCAGAUUUGGACAACGACUUCGAAGGCAUUCGCAGUAGACCAAACAGAGAAAGAGAGGGAGACACAUAACCACCUGUCUCGGUGUCACACAUGAGGAGUUGAGGAGGAGAUGAAGUCGGUGAAUAUGACCUGGCCUGGGGGAGUUUCCAGAAGAAGGCCCAGAAUCGCCGGAUGCCAGGAGUGGAGAUCCUUCGUUGCUGCCCUACAUGCUAGGAGGCAUCGGGCAGUAGAUGCUGUAAUUUGAAACGGAAGGUGUCCUGCCAAUAAAUUUUCAUCCCAUCUGAACUGCCUUGCCUGCCUGGACCCAGUCAUCUGUUCCUGAGCAUUUUCAUUCUAUUUUUCAUCAUCGUUCUUUUCGGCCUGUAUGAAGUGAAUUUCACAUUGAUUGGUGGAGCUGCUAAGUUGGCAUUACAGGGCCACGCCGGGGUAUGAUCCCUGGGGUUGAACAUCAUGACUGCUAGUUGGUCUGUGAAGGUGAUGGGAUGGAUCAAUGUCGCAUGGAGUAAGAUCGAUACCAAUCUGCUUUGCUACAUUUCGAACAAUCUCAUACGGAUACGGAUAUUAUUGCGACAGGAGUACUGUUCGAUGUGGUCAAGCCUAUUUGACAAAGCAUUAUGGUGUUAGUCACGUUAUCAGAAAUUUUUCAAAAUCACGGAGUUGCUUCAAUUUAGUAUCGAUAGAUAUUUCAAGAACGUGUAGACGAGUGAGCUUUUCAUCAAGAAUUUCACGCAAUUUAUUUUCGCGCUUAUCCAUAUCAUCAUUGAGUUUUUGUCUAUCGCGUUCCAUUGACACGGCCACCGCUCUUUGAACGACUGUAUCAAUAUGAUCUAGGUAUGCUGGGCUUUGUUUAGAUCCAGUUAAUGAUGAAACAGAGGAUUGUGUACAUGUGUUAGCCGAGUGCAAGCGGCCUCUUGAUCUGGUGGAUAUCUUAGACAUGUUGUUAGAGAUUACGUAAUGAUAUAAUUGAAAAGUGGGAUAGGCUGUGCAUCUGCCAACUCACCAGUCAACCGAUUAGAGACGGCCUUCCAAAGUGACACAGCACGAAAAUAUCAAUAUGGGACUGGUCUAGUCAACACAUAGAUCCUGAAAAAAACCAUGGAGACCGCAGACGCAAAAUGACUUCCAUACAUAAAGAUAUGAUGCACAAUUUCCAGUGGGUUCAAAACACUGAACGCAUGCUAUGCUGAUACACAGACUAUUUUAAGAACUUUAUCAAGCAUAGGAAAUCUGGUAUGAAAUCUCUCAGCUCACAUAAAAAGCCUAUGUAGCUACAUGUAGGGAAGAAAAUGUGUAAUUGCUGAGAAAUGAGCAAAAUAAGCAUGUAAUUCUAUCAAAUGUCAGGUAUUUUUCGAAUCGAUUAUAAUACACUGUCCCACAUAUGCUUUUCUGUGUUUAGAGCGAUCAUCAGAAUUAUCAAUUUUAAGUAAAAAAAUUCAUGAUUUUACAAAGAUACAAGUUUACAUUAAUGAACCAAAUGUAGAUAAUGUACAAUAUAUUGACAAUUAACUUUGAUUUUAUAGAUUUUCUCAAGAAAUAAUUGUUUGCUGCAACUACUGUCUUUUCCUUCUAUGUGAUAGUGUAAUACAACAGUUCCACAAACUAUUUUCAUCAGACUUAUUAAAGGAGAAUGAAACCCUUGAAACCAGCUGAAUCCAUAUCAAAGAGGAAAAUCAAAGAAACAUAUUGUUGAAAGUUUGAGGAAGAUUGAAUGAAUAAUAAGAAAGUUAUGAGCAUUCGAAUAUUGAGAUCACUAGUGCCAUGUAGAUCCUCCCAACGGCAAUGCGACCAAGAUCUGUGAUAUCACACACGUACAACUCCCUCAUUACUUUAGUACUUAUUUCACUUAUAUUCUCACUUUUAUAGAGUCUAUCACAAGGUGAGGUGUUCUCUUUAUGAGAUGACAAGUACAGAGGUUUCACAACAUUAUAUCAUUGAUGAAUCGUUUGUCAUAUGAUUAGAAUGAGCAAAAAGAGAUGUUUUGGGGUAUAUUUUCAGUGUCCAAAUGGGAGAGUUGUACGUGUGUGACAUCACAGAUCUUGGUCGCAUUGCCAAUGGGAGGAUCUCCAUAGCAUUAGUGAUCUCGACAUUCAAAUGCUCAUAACUCUUUUAUUGCUAGUCCUAUUUUUCUCAAAGUUUUGUUGAUCUUAUUCUUUGAUUUUUCUGCUUUCACAAAAGCUAACUUGCUCCAAGAGUUUCAUUCUCCUUUAAUGUAUGAUUCUUUCACCCAAAUGCAAGCUUCAAUAAAUCCUGAAAACUUUGCAACUCAGGUUUUUUUUUUUUA